AGGGUGCAAGCGUUAUCGGAAUUACUGGGCGUAAAGCGUGCGCAGGCGGUUUUGUAAGUCUGUCGUGAAAGCCCCGGGCUCAACCUGGGAAUUGCGAUGGAGACUGCAAGGCUUGAAUCUGGCAGAGGGGGGUAGAAUUCCACGUGUAGCAGUGAAAUGCGUAGAGAUGUGGAGGAACACCGAUGGCGAAGGCAGCCCCCUGGGUCAAGAUUGACGCUCAUGCACGAAAGCGUGGGGAGCAAACAGGAUUAGAUACCCUGG
Molecule: ribosomal RNA, 261 nt
Filed under: uncultured Burkholderiales bacterium
Lineage: Bacteria; Pseudomonadati; Pseudomonadota; Betaproteobacteria; Burkholderiales
Description: partial 16S ribosomal RNA
Rfam family: Bacterial small subunit ribosomal RNA
Source: RNAcentral